RNAcentral lists this transfer RNA (73 nucleotides) under Cricetulus griseus (Chinese hamster). It matches the Rfam family "tRNA". Rfam says of the family: Transfer RNA (tRNA) molecules are approximately 80 nucleotides in length. Their secondary structure includes four short double-helical elements and three loops (D, anti-codon, and T loops). Further hydrogen bonds mediate the characteristic L-shaped molecular structure. tRNAs have two regions of fundamental functional importance: the anti-codon, which is responsible for specific mRNA codon recognition, and the 3' end, to which the tRNAs corresponding amino acid is attached (by aminoacyl-tRNA synthetases). tRNAs cope with the degeneracy of the genetic code in two manners: having more than one tRNA (with a specific anti-codon) for a particular amino acid; and 'wobble' base-pairing, i.e. permitting non-standard base-pairing at the 3rd anti-codon position. Lineage: Eukaryota; Metazoa; Chordata; Mammalia; Rodentia; Cricetidae. The record is from Rfam by way of RNAcentral.
ACCUGGCUAGCUCAGUCGGUGGAGCAUGAGACUCUUAUUCUCAAGGUUGUGGGUUCGGGCCUCACAUUGGGUG